RNAcentral lists this ribosomal RNA (463 nucleotides) under uncultured bacterium. RNAcentral describes it as "bacterial SSU rRNA". It matches the Rfam family "Bacterial small subunit ribosomal RNA", at positions 29 to 506 of the family's 1533-position model. The record is from RNAcentral.
AUGAACGCUGGCGGCGUGCCUAAUACAUGCAAGUCGAGCGCCCCUUUAAGAGGUGACAAUUAUUGAUUGUCGGUUCCUAUGGGGAGCGGCGGACGGCUGAGUAACGCGUGGGAAUCUGCCCCAAAGUGAGGGAUAAGCAUCGGAAACGAUGUCUAAUACCGCAUAUGAUCUUCGGAUUAAAGCCUUCGGGCGCUUUGGGAGGAGCCUGCGUACGAUUAGAUAGUUGGUGAGGUAAAGGCUCACCAAGUCUACGAUCGUUAGCUGGUCUGAGAGGAUGACCAGCCAGACUGGAACUGAGACACGGUCCAGACUCCUACGGGAGGCAGCAGUAAGGAAUCUUCCACAAUGGGCGAAAGCCUGAUGGAGCAACGCCGCGUGCAGGAUGAAGGCCUUCGGGUCGUAAACUGCUUUUAUUAGUGAAGAAUAUGACGGUAACUAAUGAAUAAGGAUCGGCUAACUACGU